Molecule: non-coding RNA, 94 nt
Organism: Acanthosepion pharaonis
Lineage: Eukaryota; Metazoa; Mollusca; Cephalopoda; Sepiida; Sepiidae
Source: the annotation of a GenBank genome assembly
GACACCACAUCACAUACAAUUACUGGAGUUAAGCAAUGUUGAGCCUGUUUGGUACCUAGAUGGGAGACCAACUGGGAAUACCAGGUGUUGUAAU